RNAcentral lists this ribosomal RNA (491 nucleotides) under uncultured bacterium. Its description in RNAcentral is "partial 16S ribosomal RNA". It matches the Rfam family "Bacterial small subunit ribosomal RNA", at positions 28 to 507 of the family's 1533-position model. The record is from RNAcentral.
GAUGAACGCUGGCUACAGGCUUAACACAUGCAAGUCGAGGGGAAACGCCGGGGAAGCUUGCUUCUCCGGGCGUCGACCGGCGCACGGGUGAGUAACGCGUAUCCAACCUGCCUCUGACUGAGGGAUAACCCGUCGCAAGUCGGCCUAAUACCUCAUGGCAUCGUCUGCGGGCAUCCAACGACGAUUAAAGAUUUCAUCGGUCAGGGAUGGGGAUGCGUCUGAUUAGCCUGUUGGCGGGGUAACGGCCAACCAAGGCUACGAUCAGUAGGGGUUCUGAGGGGAAGGUCCCCCACAUUGGAACUGAGGCACAGACCAAUCUGCUACGGGGGGCAGGAGUGAGGAAUAUAAGGCGAUGGGCGGGGGCCGGAACCAGCCGAGUAGCGGGCAGGAUGACGGGGCUAGGAGUUCUCAGCUACUAUUAAGCGAGGAUAAAGUGAGGAACGUGUCCUUCAUUGAAGGUACCGAAUGAAUAAGGACCGGCUAAUUCCGUG